UACGAAGGGGGCUAGCGUUGCUCGGAAUCACUGGGCGUAAAGCGCACGUAGGCGAAUUGCUAAGUCAGGGGUGAAAUCCUGGAGCUCAACUCCAGAACUGCCUUUGAUACUGGCGAUCUUGAGUCCGGGAGAGGUGAGUGGAACUGCGAGUGUAGAGGUGAAAUUCGUAGAUAUUCGCAAGAACACCAGUGGCGAAGGCGGCUCACUGGCCCGAUACUGACGCUGAGGUGCGAAAGCGUGGGGAGCAAACAGG
This 253-nucleotide ribosomal RNA is filed under the name uncultured bacterium. RNAcentral's name for it is "partial 16S ribosomal RNA". It matches the Rfam family "Bacterial small subunit ribosomal RNA", at positions 524 to 776 of the family's 1533-position model. The record is from RNAcentral.